GGCGGCGUGCCUAAUACAUGCAAGUCGAGCGAGCGGGACCAACAGAUUUACUUCGGUAAUGACGUUGGGAAAGCGAGCGGCGGAUGGGUGAGUAACACGUGGGGAACCUGCCCCUAAGUCUGGGAUACCAUUUGGAAACAGGUGCUAAUACCGGAUGAUAAAGCAGAUCGCAUGAUCAGCUUUUGAAAGGCGGCGUAAGCUGUCGCUAAGGGAUGGCCCCGCGGUGCAUUAGCUAGUUGGUAAGGUAACGGCUUACCAAGGCGACGAUGCAUAGCCGAGUUGAGAGACUGAUCGGCCACAUUGGGACUGAAACACGGCCCAAACUCCUACGGGAGGCAGCAGUAGGGAAUCUUCCACAAUGGACGCAAGUCUGAUGGAGCAACGUCGCGUGAGUGAAGAAGGUUUUCGGAUCGUAAAGCUCUGUUGUUGGUGAAGAAGGAUAGAGGUAGCAACUGGCCUUUAUUUGACGGUAAUCAACCAGAAAGUCACGGCUAACUACGUG
This 502-nucleotide ribosomal RNA is filed under the name uncultured Lactobacillus sp. Its description in RNAcentral is "bacterial SSU rRNA". It matches the Rfam family "Bacterial small subunit ribosomal RNA", at positions 38 to 507 of the family's 1533-position model. The record is from RNAcentral. Lineage: Bacteria; Bacillati; Bacillota; Bacilli; Lactobacillales; Lactobacillaceae.